Molecule: unclassified non-coding RNA, 271 nt
Filed under: uncultured Mortierella
Lineage: Eukaryota; Fungi; Mortierellomycota; Mortierellomycetes; Mortierellales; Mortierellaceae
Description: partial internal transcribed spacer 2
Source: RNAcentral
CGCCCCCCACCGAUCCACACUCCCGCCGCGAGGCGGUAGUUUGCUAAGGGUCGAGUGGAAGUGGCCGUCCCGGCGCGAGAACGCUAAGGGUCGGCUGAAAUGGAUGGAAUUGGGCCGCCGUGGUGACACAGUCCGCGAUCGGGUGAUUUUGUUGCGAGCCUCCCGCCUGCGGGAGUUUCGCCGUGAAUUUUUCUAAGUGCGUGGCUGCGUCCCCCAGUUGGCUUUGGUUACCUCGAGCAGGUCGAGCGCGCCCCCGCGGCGCGCGUCACGC